GGAACGAACGCUGGCGGCACGCCUAAUACAUGCAAGUCGAACGAACUCUUCGGAGUUAGUGGCGCACGGGUGCGUAACGCGUGGGAAUCUGCCCCUUGGUUCGGAAUAACAGUUGGAAACGACUGCUAAUACCGGAUGAUGACGAAAGUCCAAAGAUUUAUCGCCAAGGGAUGAGCCCGCGUAGGAUUAGC
This 191-nucleotide ribosomal RNA is filed under the name uncultured soil bacterium. RNAcentral's name for it is "partial 16S ribosomal RNA". It matches the Rfam family "Bacterial small subunit ribosomal RNA", at positions 27 to 245 of the family's 1533-position model. The record is from RNAcentral.